This 1208-nucleotide ribosomal RNA is filed under the name uncultured fungus. Its description in RNAcentral is "eukaryotic LSU rRNA". The stretch from base 563 to 1208 matches the Rfam family "Eukaryotic large subunit ribosomal RNA", at positions 1 to 649 of the family's 3401-position model. Lineage: Eukaryota; Fungi. The record is from RNAcentral.
GUCGUAACAAGGUUUCCGUAGGUGAACCUGCGGAAGGAUCAUUAAAGAGUAACAAGAGACGUAAAAUAUCUCUUGAAAACUCCCACCCUAUGUUAAUUAGCCGCGUUGCUUUGGCGGGAGAACCUGAGGAAGCUUUAAGCUGCCAUCAGCUAGUCUUCUGACUAGACCCGCCAAAGAAUCAAAACUCAAAAAUUGAAUUUCAAGUCUGAAAAUUUAUUCAAUAAAUAUAAAAACUUUCAACAACGGAUCUCUUGGUUCUGGCAUCGAUGAAGAACGCAGCGAAAUGCGAUAAGUAGUGUGAAUUGCAGAAUUCAGUGAAUCAUCGAAUCUUUGAACGCACAUUGCACCCGUCGGUAUUCCGGCGGGUAUACCUGUUCGAGCGUCAUAUCAAACCUCAAGCCCUUGCUUGGUUUUGGGUGAUGCCUUGUAAAAGGCAGACCUUGAAGAAAGAAACAACGGUAAAAACUGAAGACAUACCCCGAGUGUUGCGAAAUCAAUUCUCUCCGGGAUGUUAUCAUUUUGCUAGGGAGGGACAGAAAUCUCUCCAUCUUAGAAUAUAAUUUGACCUCGGAUCAGGUAGGGAUACCCGCUGAACUUAAGCAUAUCAAUAAGCGGAGGACAAGAAACCAACAGGGAUUGCCUUAGUAACGGCGAGUGAAGCGGCAAAAGCUCAGAUUUGAAAUCUGACUCUUACUAGAGUCUGAGUUGUAAUCUGCAGAGGAUGCUUCGGGGGUGAUAUCAGUCUAAGUUCCUUGGAACAGGACGUCAAAGAGGGUGAGAAUCCCGUCUAUAGCUGAUAUAUCUGCCUUCGCGUGAAGCUCCCUCGACGAGUCGAGUUGUUUGGGAAUGCAGCUCAAAAUAGGAGGUAAAUUUCUUCUAAAGCUAAAUAUUGGCCAGAGACCGAUAGCGCACAAGUAGAGUGAUCGAAAGAUGAAAAGCACUUUGGAAAGAGAGUUGAACAGCACGUGAAAUUGUUGAAAGGGAAGCGCUCACGAUUAGACUUGCUCAUAUGAAGCAUAGUAGCGCUUUGGGGCUACUAUUUAUUCAUUGUAGCAGGCCAGCGUUGGUUAUAGCGGUUAUAGGAGAAUUGAAGGUAUGUAACCCACUCUUCAGAGGGGGCAUUAUGGCCUUUGAUAUGAUAUGAUCAGCCUUGACCGAGGUCUGCACUCUUACGAGUUAGGACGCUGGCGUAAUAGUCGUGAGCGGCC